GAACGCAUCUUGCGCUCCUUGGUAUUCCUAGGAGCAUGCCUGUUUGAGUGUCAUUAACAACCCCAUCACAAAGAGUGUGGUAUUGGCAGAAGUGGGUAGGGCUGGCAGUGCUGGCCCCACUCUGCUGGAAUGAAUAGGCCGGAAAUGUAGACCAUGGUGACAGACUUUCAGAGUAUCUCGUAAUGCUAAAUUAGUUUGUAGGCCGGUCAGAAUCCAGGCUGUUGGACCCCCAUUCUGUGUAAAGCAGUAAUGUUGACCUCGGAUCAGGUAGGGAUACCCGCUGAACUUAAG
Molecule: unclassified non-coding RNA, 291 nt
Filed under: uncultured Tuber
Lineage: Eukaryota; Fungi; Ascomycota; Pezizomycetes; Pezizales; Tuberaceae
Description: sequence contains 5.8S rRNA gene
Rfam family: 5.8S ribosomal RNA (bases 1-53)
Source: RNAcentral